CCCGCUGGCUGCCAGCACCGGUUUCCCUCCGGCACCCGGGACCCAGGCUGGCUCCCUCCCCAACCCGGCUCCGGCUUCAUCAGGAACAACAUCUGGAAUGACGUCUGGAAGACAUCUGGUCUAAUUACCAUAUUACCCUUUUAUUAUUAUAGAGUGGAUGGAUCCCAGCAAUAUAACAUUAAUUGAAAAAAGCCUGUUACUUCAGAACUCAUUCAUCGCACAUGUGAAAGAAGUGCCACUCUACACUGACUAAGCAUAUGAUUUCAGGGCAAGCUCUGUUUCAUAAUAUCUUUUGCAAGAAAUAAAAAAACAACAAGUAACCUUUCACACGGCAGCUCUUAGCAAUGCCUACUGUCCCGUGAGGGGAGCUUUGUGGACCACAUACACAGACGGCGAAUUUACCGGGAGCCCAUCUGGCUGAAAUGCUUGUGCAGCAGAAACGCUCAUCUCCACUGGGAGGGGCCCGUCUGGGCCGAAGCACCAUUACUUCACUUUGCCUUGAGCUGCAACAUUCCAAAAUGAGCUUCAAGGAGAUUGGGCCGUGAUUGGACUGUGUGCAGCAUGGUCCUGGGAAGCACUGGCCGGGUCCUGGCUGGCACGC
Long non-coding RNA from Myotis brandtii (Brandt's bat), 601 nucleotides. RefSeq lists it as uncharacterized. The transcript is spliced from 3 exons. NCBI's taxonomy places the organism in Eukaryota, Metazoa, Chordata, Mammalia, Chiroptera, Vespertilionidae. The record is from RefSeq and is a predicted model, not a curated record.